This is a non-coding RNA of Jatropha curcas, 1371 nucleotides long. Lineage: Eukaryota; Viridiplantae; Streptophyta; Magnoliopsida; Malpighiales; Euphorbiaceae. The record is from RefSeq and is a predicted model, not a curated record.
GUUGAAUUAAAAACUGAAUCGGAUACCAUCUAAAUCGAGUCGAAACCGUUUAAAAACUAAAGAAGAAAUUUCUAGAAGUCGAAUUGAACCAAACCUAUUCAGUUUGGACCAAAUCAGACUAUAUACCUAAAAAACAAAACUUAAAACCCUCAUCCUCUCUCUCCCCGUCGCCGACAGCUCCCACACACCCCUCCUUUCUGUUUUCCGGCCAAACUCAAUGGAAUCAGACGAUUAAGGACUCUAAAGUGCUCUACUCGUUGUAAGAAGUUCAAUCCAAGUCCUGGUUCACACGAUUUAAGCUUGGAUCGAGAGGAAAUGAAACUUGAAAUAUCUUCAGUUUGCAAUCUGACUCUCCGGCGAGUUCUCGCCGUUACCGGCUGAUGUACGCGAUGAAGACGGGUUGAGUCAGCUCUUCAGCGCCAUGCGAGCAAUACCCCUCUGUUAAUUUGGUCAACGAAGCUAGCAUGUGAAAUCGCCAUGGAUGGUAGUGGCGAAGCUACUGUCAAGGCCAUUUUCAGCCAAAUGAGACACACCCAGUCCAAAUUCGUCACGGAUUCUGAGUCCCAAUGAGAUUUCGAGCAUUUUGGUGUAUGUGUUGCUCAGUUUUGGCAAUACUCGGUUUUCCGGCCACCGUGUGCGGCGGCAGGCGGCAACAUUUUGGUGACCGGCCAGCGAGACCCUGGCGAGGCCAUAGGAGACAGAAUUCUCGUCUCGAUUUGGUCAAUGCGAUGAUAUGACUUGUCCGUGAUGCGCUGUAGAGUUAGAAUGAUAUGGGUCACCCUAGGGUGAGAGCACGGGCACGGUGAGAAUAUCGUCAGUGGGCCGUAAGCAUGUGGAGUGGCAUCCCCCAAUUAUGCAUCAAUGCUAAAAGAAAAAGAAAGAAAAGUGACAAAGUGAAAAGAAAAGGAAAGAAAGGAGAUAUAUAUGGACUAGAUCCGUCCAGCCUGAAUGGGAGUGGGCUCCCUGAGUGCACUUGACACAAGAUUAUGGAUUUAUUUUUCCAGAAAUUAUUUUAAAGCAUGCUUUGGGGUGAGCAUGAUCCUUGUUUAUAGUAGGUGAUUCCACGGACUAAUGUCCACUGUAUGAUUACUUGAAUUGUUGUGACUUGUUUGAUAAGUGUGCAUAAAUACUUACUCGUUCAUUCAUAGUUAGCUGGAGGGCUACUGAUUGUAUAGUAUGAUUACAAUAUGUAUGAAUGUGUGGGGUGAGAGGGUUAUCUAACCCUACUCAUUGAGUUUGGCGCUCACCCUUGCCUCCUUAUUUUUCCAGCUAUUAGGAGGAGAGAAGAAUCCUAUGGAUCCAUUUGAAUUGAAAUACAGAUAAAGAAAAAUAAAAAUAAAUGGAUACAAUAUGUUAAUGUAAAGAUUGUAA